GUAGAACUCCUUUCAGCAGUUUUUGUAAGGCAGGUAUGGUGGUGAUGAACUCCAGCUUUUGUUUGCCUGGGAGCAUCUUAAUCUUUCUUUCAUUUCUGAAGGACAACUUUGCCAGCGUGCUGGAACUUCUCUGCUGGACUCUGCAGUUGCACAAAAGCACUCUUCUCGGGCAACUUUACUUUGAUGAUUUUCAAGGAAGCUGGGCUACGAAGUGGCAAAAGUCUCUAGGAAGCAGGAUGUCAGUGCCUCUGGGGAAACAGCUCUUUUUUACCGGCGUGGCGGCUAGCGGGGGCUGCGCCCUUUUGUACUACCUGAUACAGAAAACUUUUUCCAGGGCUUCCUAUUACCAGUUGGCGUUGGAGCAUCUGCACAGCCACCCUGAGGCACUGGAAGCUCUGGGCACUCCUCUCAACGUUCACUAUCUCCGACUCACCGACAAGUACAACUUUGUGGACAUUGCCGAUGCAAAGUUGAAGAUUCCUGUCUCUGGACCCAAGUCAGAGGGCUAUCUCUAUGUCACCUCAUCCAGAGAUGCCCCCUUUAAGAGGUGGAACCUUCAGGAGGUCUUCUUAGAGCUCAAGGAUGGCCAGCAGAUUCCCCUGUUCAAGCCCAGUGGGGAGAACAGCAAUGAGCUGAAAAAGGAGUGAAGUGUUUGCUGGAUUUUUUCUUGCUGUGGCCAAGCCACAGAAAACCAGGGCCUGAGUGGACCAUCUGUUCCGAAGUAAAAGCAAGUACAUUUCUCUCACAAGUUAUUAGAAAACUGGCUACUUUACAGUAAUGGAGAUAACCGAGAGAUAAUAAUUUUCAUGAAAACCGAUCAGUGUAUUGAAACUAAGAGAACAUUUUUAUGUAAAAAUGUUGUUAUACUAUUGCUGAUGACAUAUUUAGUAAAAAUAGUUUAGUUUUAGUAGAUAAAACUCACUUGUUUUAAUAAAAACUGUAAGAAUGAAUGCAAAGUCCUAAGAUUAUUCUGCCAUGUAAAAUGAACUGCUCCCCAAAGGACUGUGUCAGUAUUGGUUUGAAAUAGGAAAUAUCUCCUAUUUAGAAUAUGUUUAGAUUACAAGAGCCUGGCAGGGGGGUUGGCAAACUUAUUCUGUAAAGGGCCAGAGAGUAACUAUUUUAGGCUGAUUAGGCCAUAAGAUCUCUGUUGCAACUACUCAACCCUGCGGGUUUUCCCAUGAAGCGGCUGUAGACAAAUGUAAAUGAACAGGCUGUGUUCCAAGAAAGCUUCAUUUACCAAACACGCCACAAGGGCGUAAUGUGCUGACCUCUGUACCAGCCUAAUGUCAGGUUACCUAUCCUCCAGUCAUUAACAAAAAUUCAUCCACAAUCAAGCUACACAAAAAUAAUUUGAAAAAAAUGAUUAUUUAUGGACAUUAAUAUGUAGCCCAAGUGUAGACUCCACUGAGGUUAAAGCCCUGGAAAGCUCAACGAUUCUAUCCUCUGUUUUGCCAGCAGCUGCUAAGAUCCUGGGCAAACCACAUAUUCCCUCUGAGAUUCUAUUACCUCCUCUCUACUUUGAGAGAAUUAGAGGAGGGUAUGUUAUUCCUUCCCAAUUUUGUUACCAUGAAUUUCAAUUCAGCAGACUGACUUCCACUCUUACCAACAAAACUUUAGACCGAGACUUUAAAUGAAGAGCUUCAAAAGAAAAUAACACUCAUUUUUAUUUGAAUAAUUUAUAACAUAGGUCUGAUUAAGCACAGUGAGCUAAAACUGACCACUGGAGGAUUAGGAGUGUCAAAAACCAAAACUGAAAAACAAAGAGUAUCCAAAACAAUAGCAUCAAAUAACAAAAUACACAGGGAUAAAGUUCGCAAAGGAUGUACAAGGACUCUACACUGGAAGAUAUAACACAAUGCCGAGAAAAACUGAAAUCAACGAACGGGAAUACACACUAUGUUCAUAGACUGGAAGAACUGUUAAAAAGUCAGAUUGAUUGACAUGAAUCUCAAACAAAAUCCCACGAGGCUUUUUUAGGGGGUGAUUUUGGUAGAAGUUGACAAACCAACGCUAAAAUUUCUUCAGAAAUGCCAAGGACCUAGAAUAAACAACAAUCUCAAAAAUGAAGGAAUUGGAAGUCCUACUGUACUUGACAUCAGGACUUACAAAGUUCUGACAAAAAGAUAAGCAAAUAAAUUAAUGAAACAGAAGAGUGUGCAGCAGUAGAUCCACAGACAUACGGUCAGAUGAUUUUAGACAAGGACAGCAAAACAGUUCAAUGGGGAAAGGAAAAUCGGUCUGACAAAUGGUGCUGGAACAACUACAUAUUCAUACGGAAAACAAGGACACUUGACCCCACCUAACACCAAAGGGGACAAAAGUGUAAAGUGGAUCGCAGGCCUGAACAUAAAAGUUAAAACUAUAAAGCUUAAAAAAAACCUUCAUGACUUUGGGGUAGGUAAGGACUUCUUAAAGAGGGUACAGAAAGUAUUAACCAUAUAAAACAAAAAUUGAUGAAUUGGACUUCAUCGAAAUUACAGCUACCUUCUCAUCAAAAGACACUGUUGAGAAAACAGACAACCCACAGUCGGAAAAAAAUAUUUGUAACAUGUAAACCCUAUAAAGGACUUGUAUCCAGAAUAUAUAAAAGAUUAUCACAACUCACUAUCCAAUUAAUAAAAAGGGAGAAAAAGGACGACACAAAAAUGGUUCAACAAACACAUGAAAUAGUGUUUGUUCCUCAUUAGUCAUCAGGGAAUAGCAAAUUAAACCACCUUGUGAUACCACCACAUACCCAUGAGAGUGGCUAAAAUAAAAAGGAUGGCCAACACUAAAUGUGAAGCAAUGAGAACUUGCAUAUAUUGCUGGCAGGAAUGGUAAACAGUACAAUCGCUUUAGAAAUGGUUGGGCAUUUUCUUAAAAAGUUACAGAUCCAUCUCUCCCGUGGCCUAGAAAUUCUACUCCUAUUUAAUCUAAGAGAAAUGAAAACGUGUCCAAGAAAAUCCCUGGACAAGAAUAUCUGAACUUCCCUGGUGGCGCAGUGGUUAAGAAUCCACCUGCCAAUGCAGGGGACACAGGUUCAAGCCCUGGUCCGGGAAGAUCCCACAUGCCGCCGAGCAGCUAAGCCCGCGCACCACAACUACUGAGCCUGCGCACCACAACUACUGAAGCCUGCGUGCUCUAGGGCCCACAUGCCGCAACUACUGAGCCCGUGCUCCGCCGCAAAAGAAGCCACUGAAAUGAGAAGCCCGCGCACCGCAACUAGAGAAAAGCCUGCAUGCAGCAGCAGCAAUGAACACUCAAUGCAGCCAAAAAAAAAAAAAAAACCAAACUAAAACAACAGAAAAAAGAAUAUCUAUAGCAGCUUUAUUCAUAAGACACAAAACCUGCAACAGCCCUGGGGUCCGUGAACAGAGAUAUGGUUUUACAUAAGCUGGUGUGUUCAAACAGCACCACAUGGCAACAACAAGGAACACACUGCUGAUACAAGCACCAAUAUGUAUGAGUCUCAAAAUCACGCUAAGUGAAAGCCACAGCAGGGUGGACGUGCCAUGUAAUUCCCUCUAUCUGAAUACGUGCAUUUGUCAAGCUCGAGAGAGGCUGGUACGGAUUUAGAGCUUUACACUUCGUUACUUGUAAAUCAUAUCCCCUCCGACAAUAAAAGCAUAGUUGGCAAUUAAGGCUCUUGAGGUUAACGUUUUUAAUCCAGCUCUUUUAAUUCUGUAACAAAUUGAAGGUCCUAAGUGCUAAAUGAUCUUGAACAAUACUAUCGUAUUUUUAUCAGUCUAAUUCAGAUUUCUCCAAGUGUGAGCUUAAAAUGUAUUUAGGAUUUGUUUCUUGGUACCUUGAGAUGAUCUAUGUCGGUCGCAGGGAGCGAUGUUGCUCAGGCCUCCGUGGACGGAGCCGCACAGCAUUCACCUCGUGUCCAACAGUCUCUAAGCGACCUCUUCUCUCCUACACUUUCUUCCAAACUGAGGUCUGUUGGAAAAGUUUAAGAUACAGCACAAUUAGCAUCUGAUGUGCCUCUGUAACUAUGAGAGAAAGCCAUAUUCUCCUACUUUUCAUGUGAAAACAACAAAAUGAAACAUUAAAACACAAUUUCCCAGUUGACUAAAACCACUUACAUUUUGCGUAUUUCAUAACUUCUCAUCAAGCUAAAAUAUUAUAAUGUUGAAUUUUAUUAUAAUUAAAACUGGAGUUCUAAAUUGCAUGGAUAUGAAUAGUUUAGUCCAUUGUAAACAAGUGAAAAGAAAAAUUAACAGAGCUAGUUGGUUAGUAAUUAACAGAAAGUUUUGGUCCAAUACUGUGAAGACUCUUUAUGCUCUAUUUAUAUGACAGACACCAAAAAAUGUCAAUAUAUCCCUUUACCAGUGCAAGUGCUUCCAAAAAAGCAGUGUACAAAUUCUAAAUUCAAGGCACCAAGAGCAGCUAAGGACAGCUGCACACUGCAAAUGGCAAAGUGGCCAUAAAAGAAAACACGUCUAUUUUUCUUUUCUUUUACAGAUACAGCAAUUACAUUAAAUGUAUUAUGAAUACAGUAUAAAAAAUGGCUUGGAAAAAGUCUAACUGUUGUCCACAUGAUUAUGAUUUUAAAACUGAAUAAAUCCAUCAAGUAUAAAAAUGUGUCAUUCAAAUAGUGGAUAUUUUUUUUCUCACCUCCCUCCUAUUUUUGUCAGAGGUAUUUAUAAAAAUUUGCCUAAAAUUGUAUUUUACCUCUUUUCAAGACUUACCUGAGGCUUUAGCAUUGUGGCCGUGGGUUUUCAUUGAAAAUUGCCACUGUAGCAGAAUUUCCUCUUCCUCUUUAUAGAGCUUGUUUAGAAAUGCUCGUUUCCAAGAAACUGUAUAAAUCAAUAGGCCAGUUUAGUGAGAAAACAGUGCAAACCGAGGGUUCGAACUGCCUUAUCAAUUUCACCUGAUGGUGUCGGAACAACACAGGGCCUGCGACACUUGCAGGGCAGGGCUGGGAGCUCGUGCAGACCACGCAUGGGAAAGUCCAGCCCAGUACCCUACACACACUUGAAAACAGAUGGUUAGGGGUUCCCAUGGUCCUGAGGCUGACAUCUGAGCAACCAGGCUGGGAAGAAAGCACCACGUGACACCCUAGCGGACUGCGAAGGGAUGCGUCUGAGUAGCUCACGGUACAGAGCACACGCUGUGUGCACACAAGUCACAGACAAGUUGUGUUCACCCGAUACAAGCACCUAAUACAAGACUGUCUGCACUGUCCUAAAGUAUAUGAAGUAACUACAAUCAGCUCCUCUGUGACGACGGAUUCCUCGGUUUCCGGCUUCUGAGUAUCUGAAUGGCUUUCAGGCACAGGAUCGCCUUCCUGGAGGGCCUGUGCCUCUUCUAAUGCUCCUUUCACCUUGAGAGAAGGUUCCUGAACACUGCUCUGCGUUAGCCAUGGAUGUUUCAGACACUCCUCAGCAGUGGCGCGAUCUCUGGAUAAAGAUACACAUUUUACAAUUAGGACAAAGUAGUUUAAAGCCUCAACUUAACUUAGAGCAUAAGGUAUUAUAUUUUGGGACGCAUGAACCACAAAGAUCUUACUGUGGUUCCUGAAUAAAACAAAGUUUCAGCAUUUGCAUGCAAAUGCCGUCCCCACAA
This is an RNA transcript of Lagenorhynchus albirostris (white-beaked dolphin), 5547 nucleotides long. It is a transcript of the gene named cytochrome c oxidase assembly factor 1 homolog, with no coding region annotated. The record is from RefSeq and is a predicted model, not a curated record. Lineage: Eukaryota; Metazoa; Chordata; Mammalia; Artiodactyla; Delphinidae. The transcript is spliced from 10 exons.